Molecule: ribosomal RNA, 442 nt
Filed under: uncultured bacterium
Lineage: Bacteria
Description: partial 16S ribosomal RNA
Rfam family: Bacterial small subunit ribosomal RNA
Source: RNAcentral
CCUACGGGUGGCAGCAGUGGGGAAUAUUGGGCAAUGGGCGCAAGCCUGACCCAGCAACGCCGCGUGAAGGAAGAAGGCUUUCGGGUUGUAAACUUCUUUUAAGAGGGAAGAGCAGAAGACGGUACCUCUUGAAUAAGCCACGGCUAACUACGUGCCAGCAGCCGCGGUAAUACGUAGGUGGCAAGCGUUGUCCGGAUUUACUGGGUGUAAAGGGCGUGCAGCCGGGAAGACAAGUCAGAUGUGAAAUCCCGCGGCUCAACCGCGGAACUGCAUUUGAAACUGCCAUACUGGAGUGCCGGAGAGGUAAGUGGAAUUCCUAGUGUAGCGGUGAAAUGCGUAGAUAUUAGGAGGAACACCAGUGGCGAAGGCGGCUUACUGGACGGUAACUGACGCUGAGGCUCGAAAGCGUGGGGAGCAAACAGGAUUAGAUACCCCAGUAGUC